AUGCCACAAGCGGCCCUGGCAUCCCGGGGGCACGGUGUUGCCACGGCAACCACGGUGUGUGGCCUCAGCGGUGGAAGCUGCUCAGGUAUCCGGGCCACUGGACGCUCCCUGGGCUUAGGGGACGCUGAGGGCUGUCUGUGGGCACCCGUACACACCCACACACAUACCCACACACAUACACCUAUACACAUACGCACAUACACACAUACACACUGCACACACAUGCCUGUGUACCCGUACACCCCCCCACAUGUAUACACACACAUACACCCACACACAUACACACAUACACCCACACACAUACGCACAUGUAUACACACACAUACACCCACACACAUACGCACAUGUAUACACACAUACACCCACACAUACACACAUGUAUACACACAUACACACACACGCAUAUACCUGUACACAUACACACAUACACAAUGCACACACAUGCCUGUGUACCCGUACACCCCCCCUCAUGUAUACACACACAUACACCCACACACAUACGCACAUGUAUACACACACACCCACACACAUACGCACAUACACAAUGCGCACACACAAUGCACACACACAUGCCUGUGCACCCAUACACUCACACACAUAUACACACGCAUACACCUAUACACAUACGCAGAUAUACACACACACUGCACACAUGCCUGUGUACCUGUACACCCACACAUACACACAUACACACACACAUACGCACAUACACAAUGCAUACACACACACAAUGCGCACACACAUGCCUGUGCACCCAUACACCCACACCCACCCACACACACACAGUGCACACACAUACACAAUGUAUACACACAUACACCCACACAUACACACAUGCAUACACACUUACACAAUGCACACACAUGUCUGUGUACCCGUACACCCACACACAUGCACGCACACACACACUGCAUACACACAUACACAAUGCGCACACACAUGCCUGUGCACCCAUAUACUCACACACAUACACACAGUGCACACACAUACACAAUGUAUACACACACACCCACAUACACAUGCACAUACUCAAUGCACACACACAUGCCUGUGCACCCAUACACCCCCCCCCACACACAUACAGCUGUACACACCCUGCACAUACACAUGCCAGUGCACACGUACACACACACAACAUACAGCUGUACACACCUGCACACACAUGCCGGUGCACCCGUACACCCCCACAUACACACACACGUACAGCUGUACACACCUGCACAUACACAUGCCAGUGCACACGUACACACACACAUGUACAGCUGUACACACCUGCACACACAUGCCAGUGCACCCGUACACACACAUGCACACACAUGCACAGCUGUACACACCUGCACACACAUGCCGGUGCACACGUACACCCCCACAUACACAAACACAUACAGCUGUACACACCUGCACAUACACAUGCCGGUGCACACGUACACACACACACAUGUACAGCUGUACACACCUGCACACACAUGCCGGUGCACAUGUGCACACACAUGCACAGCUGUACACACCUGCACACACAUGCCGGUGCACACGUACACACAUGCAUGCAUGCACAUACCCAAUACUUACACAUGCACGUACACACACACACACAACGCACACACAGAGGUCCCCUGCUCUGCACGGAUGCACUGUGGCGUUCGGUUCUUCCCUCUUCUCAUCCACGACGGGUGGGGUCUGCGGCCCCUCCCAGGAUGCUGGGGUUGGCCCUGUGACCUGGCUCGGCCAAGAGGACGCAGGCAGGAGUGCUUCUGCCGGCCGCUGUGGGCUCUGCCCUGA
This 1779-nucleotide long non-coding RNA is filed under the name Oryctolagus cuniculus (rabbit). RNAcentral's name for it is "lncRNA (ENSOCUG00000030766.1)". Lineage: Eukaryota; Metazoa; Chordata; Mammalia; Lagomorpha; Leporidae. The record is from RNAcentral.